GCGCUCACUUUGGCAGCACAUAUACUAAAACUAUAAUGAUACAGAGAUUAGCAUGACCUCUGUGCAAGGAUACCACAUAAAUUUGUGAAGCAUUCCAUAUUUAA
RNAcentral lists this small nuclear RNA (104 nucleotides) under Dasypus novemcinctus (nine-banded armadillo). The record is from RNAcentral. Lineage: Eukaryota; Metazoa; Chordata; Mammalia; Cingulata; Dasypodidae.